Molecule: long non-coding RNA, 1505 nt
Organism: Beta vulgaris subsp. vulgaris (sugar beet)
Lineage: Eukaryota; Viridiplantae; Streptophyta; Magnoliopsida; Caryophyllales; Amaranthaceae
Exons: 2
Source: RefSeq, a predicted model, not a curated record
UGGCUACUCCACCCCUUACCCAAAUCCUGUACUGCUGUCUACUAUUAUCUCUCUUCAAAAUUUCCCAUUUUGUCUUUUUAAAUUCUACCUUCCUAUUUUAUUGCUCUCUCUCUUUUCCCACGAAAUCACAUUGACAUUUUAUCAAGUUCCUAAAAUAAAUCAAUUAACCCAAUUUGUAUUAAUUCUUUUUAUUAUCCAUGGACCAUGGAGGUCAGUAAGAGUGGCGAUUUUCAUCCUUGGUCUGAAAACACCACUUGACGAUUUGAGUAUUACCCAAAUACAAAACAAGUUCAUCAUUUGUUAAUUACCUUGAUAUGAGAACAUCACUUGAUGAUUAAGAGUGGUGUAUUGUCACGGUGGGUCAUCGAUAUCAUCAGAAUAUUACUCCAAAGAGCGGUGAGUUGUAUCCUUAGUAAAACAAAUCGAGAAUCUAUAAUACCUCUUCAACCAUCCAAGUCUCUAAUUGAUGAUUUUGAAUUUGGGUCUCCUAAAAUCUUCGAGACGAUCAUGAAGCCACUCACACUUUCUCUCAGCACCAGCAAGCCAAACAACUUAGCAAAACAUGUUAUCAUACCAAUUCCCAAACUAAAAAGGAAUCACUUGAAGCUCAAUAAUUUCAAGUAUGACAUGACAUGAAAGAAGCAGAAAGCCAUAAUGAUUCACAAUACAAAAUCUUAUUAUCCCCCAGCAGGGAUCUAUCUCUCAGUAACAUCCUCAAAGUAAGAAGCAGCAGGCCCGGCUAAGGCCCUAUGCAAGGUGAGCAAUUGCAAAGGGUCCCAAAAUUUCAAGGGCCCAAUUAUUAUCUUUGACUACCCAAAGUAAAAAAAAAAAAUCCAAUUUCACGCUUUUUUUUACAGAAACUUCACGCUUUCUUUUACAAACUUCACGCUUUCCUCUUCCAAUUCCUAAAACCCCAUUAAUGACAGCUCCAACGUUUCCUAUUCCCAAAAAAAAUUCAAUCUUUCUCCAUUUACAACUCUCAGUAUUAAUCCUUAGAUUUUUUUGCCUAAAAAAAUCAAAAAUUCUUUUUCUUUUUUGAUUUACCCAACAUCAUCAUCCAUGUUAAACAGUAAACACCACUCUCAUCUUCUACUCGAUUGGUUGAUUGACCGGGUUUGAUGUGUUGUAGCAACGUAGCUCUUAUCUCAUUAGAGUUCAAAGAUCCUAAUAUUUUGAAGAAGUACGACAUUCAGCGAAUCAAUGUUUAGAAUGAUAUUGAAGUGCUUGAUAUGUGUGACUUGUGAGUGAUACUUCUUCCUUCUCAAAAGAGGUAUUUAAAAAUUAAUUAUUUGGAUUAAUUCCUAUUUUUUGUAUCCUGAUGUGUGGAAAUCGAGGGUUUUUUUUAGUUUUUGGGGAUAAAUGAAGGUAUACUAUGGUGGUAAUUGAAUGAUUCCUUCUCUGAAUAUUUAGAAGGUAAUUUCUAAAUUUUGAAAUUUUUGUUUUUUUUGUUUUGAUGAUCUGGAAUUUUGGUUAAUUUUAUACUAUUUUCUUAUUAUUUUUGACAA